CAGAAAUCAUUUCUUUUGCCUUACUUUUCUUUUUCUUUUCCGUGAAACCCUCCACUUUGUUCCCUCAAUCACUCUCUUUUUAUUUUCCCUCAGCUCCCUCAAACUCAACUCUCAUUAUCUCCCGUCAAGCUCUCAAGCUCUCUCUCUCUCCUUCUCUCAAAACCCACGGACCAAACAACAAGUUCAUCAAAACUUCAUAGAUCGACGAAACAAAAAUCACCAUCUUCUUCGUUUCGACGAUACGAGUUCAACCGUACCAAUUUCAGGACUUUUCAAGCUUAUAGGAAGCUUCUUAAGAUCCUUAGGAGGCUUGGAGUAGUUCGUUGGAAGUUUUUGGACGUAAGAACACGGAGAACGACAAGUUCAAAGUUUGGCCGGAGAUUUCGGGGCUUUUUCCGGUGAAUCCACGCAGAUUUAGGGGUCAAGGAAGAAAUUCCGGCAAAACACCCACCUCCGGCGAAACCAGUCCGGCGACGCAAGGAAGAAGACGACGCGCGUGAGCAGAUCUUCUAGGGGCGCGUGAGGGCGCGUCGUAGCUCAAAAAAUUGUUCUAAAAAUUGCUACGUAUUUGUGACGUCGUGUAGAUCACCGUGGUAUAUUCACAUACCCAAAUUGAGCAACGUAUGAGAAAGUUAUUGACGAAUGUUUGUGUAUGUGCGUUUAAAUGAUGUUUUAUAAUUAUUUUUGUAUAGGUGAAAAUUAUACGGACGAAGAACUUAACCAAAAUAGGCGAGGGAGUUACGAACCGGCUACUUAUCAGUGAGUGGGCAGUUAUUUUUCAGUAUAUAUAUACGUAUACUUGACGUAUUUCCCAGAAAACGUAUUUUAAAAGAAAUACGAAUUAAGUAACUUAUCAUGUAUGCAUCAUAUUUUAGUAUAUGCAUUACCAUAAUUAUGCAUAUUGUUGCAUGGUGCUGAGGAGGCCCAGGUAAGCUACAUGUGAGUAAAUACAUUUGAUAUACGUAUAAAAUACAUAUGAAAUACGAUUGAUAUACGUUUGAAAUACGAUUGAUAUACGUAUAAAAUACAUUUGAUAUACGUAUAGUAUACAUUUGAAAUACGUACGAAAUACGUAUAAUAUACAUUUGAAAUACGUACGAAAUACAGUUGAUAUACGUAUGAGAAAUGUGAUUAAGAUAUGUUUGAGAAAUGUGAUUGAGAUAUGUUUGAGAAAUGUUUGAGAUAUACUUGUGAUAUGAUUCGAGAUAUAAUUGUGAUACGAUUGAGAUAUUAUGCUGAUAACGAUCAUGAGAUAUUAUGCUGAUAACGAUCAUGAGAUAUAGUUGAGAUAUGAUGAAUUAUAUGAUUGAGAUGCGAUUGAAAGCUCAUUUACUUGCACACGUAUAUUAGUGCUCCCGCCCAGAGUUAGGGGCACAGCCUUCACGUGUAUGUUCACCUCCCGCACCGCAUGCUCGCCUUGGAUCCAAGUUAAGUGUACAGCCUGUCGUAUAGACCACUUAUGUGGGUUCGACUUGUUGGUGACCCGCGAUUUAUCGCACAGCUUCACGUGAUUGUAGCACUAGAGCAUAUUAUAUUAUAUACGAUGAUGAAUUGCAGACCAUAUGAGGUGGUAUUGAAUGUGUGCAGGAUAUACAUGUUUAUACAUGAUUGUGAUGAGAUGAUUAUGAGCUAUAUAUGCAGCCGAGGGCUGAGUUGAUUGUGAUGAGAUGAUUAUGAAUUAUGUUUAUAGCCGAGCGUUGAAUUGAUUAUAUGUUAUCCCAUCAGAUUCACAUAGGAGAUUAAGCAUUCAGUUAUGAUACUUGGCAUGACAUACCUUCAUAUUGUUCCGCAUGAUUUGAUAUAUAUAUUAAGUAUAUGAUUAUAUACUUUACUUCUGGGAAACUAUACUUGUUUUACGGC
Non-coding RNA from Malus domestica (apple), 1860 nucleotides. Lineage: Eukaryota; Viridiplantae; Streptophyta; Magnoliopsida; Rosales; Rosaceae. The record is from RefSeq and is a predicted model, not a curated record.